This 152-nucleotide non-coding RNA is filed under the name Nitrospirota bacterium. RNAcentral's name for it is "Nitrospirae bacterium c-di-GMP sequence". It matches the Rfam family "c-di-GMP-I riboswitch aptamer". Rfam says of the family: GEMM was predicted in a large-scale screen for bacterial structured RNA regulatory elements. Genes associated with GEMM are involved in a diverse array of functions, including chemotaxis regulation, signal transduction, secretion and chitin. Lineage: Bacteria; Pseudomonadati; Nitrospirota. The record is from RNAcentral.
UUCUGCUCAGAGCAAACCUGCUGAAAGGCAGUGACGCAGAGCAACGGAACUAAAAAGGCAGUAACAGGUAAUGCGUAAUGGGUGAUGGGUAACAAAAGAAUCUGCUUUCACUCUUUACUCAUCACUGUCUUUAUGUUAGCCGAGCCGCCAGA